RNAcentral lists this unclassified non-coding RNA (381 nucleotides) under uncultured Cunninghamella. RNAcentral describes it as "partial contains 18S rRNA, ITS1 and 5.8S rRNA". The stretch from base 1 to 46 matches the Rfam family "Eukaryotic small subunit ribosomal RNA", at positions 1786 to 1831 of the family's 1831-position model. The record is from RNAcentral. Lineage: Eukaryota; Fungi; Mucoromycota; Mucoromycetes; Mucorales; Cunninghamellaceae.
AAGUCGUAACAAGGUUUCCGUAGGUGAACCUGCGGAAGGAUCAUUACAUAUUGGUCAAAAGAAUAGUUUGAAAAAGGCUAUUUUUUUUUGACUUAAAAAACUUAUCCACAGUGUGGGAAAUGUCUUCUAACGCUUGUGCCUGGUUCAGUCUAGUGCUGCCACUUGAGUUUAUCCUUAGAUCAAGGGAUCUUUGGGUAGUUGUUCAUUAUUUUCUCUCUCUUUUUAGGGGGGGGGAGAUUAAUGAUGGGCACCUCUUGUAAAGGGGAUAAGAUUACUUUUAUUAUACUAAAUUUUACUGAACUGAUAGACCAUAAAUCUAUGGUUGUUUUUUAUUAUAAUUAAACAAAAAAACAACUUUCAGCAAUGGAUCUCUCGGCUUUC